Molecule: ribosomal RNA, 732 nt
Filed under: uncultured bacterium
Lineage: Bacteria
Description: bacterial SSU rRNA
Rfam family: Bacterial small subunit ribosomal RNA
Source: RNAcentral
CAGUCGAACGGACUCAUAUUGAAACCUAGUGAUUUAUGAGUUAGUGGCGGACGGGUGAGUAGCGCGUGGAUAACCUGCCGUAUACCGGGGGAUAACACUUAGAAAUAGGUGCUAAUACCGCAUAAGCGCACGGCUCCGCAUGGGGCAGUGUGAAAAACUCCGGUGGUAUACGAUGGAUCCGCGUCUGAUUAGCUAGUUGGCGGGGUAACGGCCCACCAAGGCAGCGAUCAGUAGCUGGCCUGAGAGGGUGGACGGCCACAUUGGGACUGAGACACGGCCCAAACUCCUACGGGAGGCAGCAGUGGGGAAUAUUGCACAAUGGGGGAAACCCUGAUGCAGCGACGCCGCGUGAGUGAAGAAGUAUCUCGGUACGUAAAGCUCUAUCAGCAGGGAAGAAAAUGACGGUACCUGACUAAGAAGCCCCGGCUAACUACGUGCCAGCAGCCGCGGUAAUACGUAGGGGGCAAGCGUUAUCCGGAUUUACUGGGUGUAAAGGGAGCGUAGACGGUGAGACAAGUCUGAAGUGAAAGCCCGGGGCUCAACCCCGGGACUGCUUUGGAAACUGCCUGACUGGAGUGCUGGAGAGGCAAGCGGAAUUCCUAGUGUAGCGGUGAAAUGCGUAGAUAUUAGGAGGAACACCAGUGGCGAAGGCGGCUUACUGGACCGUAACUGACGUUGAGGCUCGAAAGCGUGGGGAGCAAACAGGAUUAGAUACCCUGGUAGUCCACGCCG